CCUACGGGGGGCAGCAGUGAGGAAUAUUGGUCAAUGGACGAGAGUCUGAACCAGCCAAGUAGCGUGAAGGAUGACUGCCCUAUGGGUUGUAAACUUCUUUUAUAAAGGAAUAAAACGAGGCACGUGUGCCUUUUUGCAUGUACUUUAUGAAUAAGGAUCGGCUAACUCCGUGCCAGCAGCCGCGGUAAUACGGAGGAUCCGAGCGUUAUCCGGAUUUAUUGGGUUUAAAGUGAGCGUAGAUGGGUUGUUAAGUCAGUUGUGAAAGGUUGCGGCUCAACCGUAAAAUGGCAAUUGAUACUGGCAGUCUUGAGUACAGUUGAGGUAGGCGGAAUUCGUGGUGUAGCGGUGAAAUGCUUAGAUAUCACGAAGAACCCCGAUUGCGAAGGCAGCUUACUAAACUGUGACUGACAUUGAUGCGCGAAAGUGUGGGUAUCAAACAGGAUUAGAUACCCUAGUAGUC
This 460-nucleotide ribosomal RNA is filed under the name uncultured bacterium. RNAcentral's name for it is "partial 16S ribosomal RNA". It matches the Rfam family "Bacterial small subunit ribosomal RNA", at positions 338 to 795 of the family's 1533-position model. The record is from RNAcentral.